This 253-nucleotide ribosomal RNA is filed under the name uncultured bacterium. Its description in RNAcentral is "partial 16S ribosomal RNA". It matches the Rfam family "Bacterial small subunit ribosomal RNA", at positions 524 to 776 of the family's 1533-position model. The record is from RNAcentral.
UACAGAGGUCCCAAGCGUUGUUCGGAUUCAUUGGGCGUAAAGGGUGCGUAGGCGGCGGGGUAAGUCAGGUGUGAAAUCCCACGGCUCAACCGUGGAAGUGCACUCGAAACUGCGUAGCUAGAGUCCUGGAGAGGAAGGUGGAAUGCUUGGUGUAGAGGUGAAAUUCGUAGAUAUCAAGCGGAACACCGGUGGCGAAGGCGGCCUUCUGGACAGUGACUGACGCUGAGACGCGAAAGCGUGGGGAGCAAACAGG